GCUGUGAGGAGCUGUUCAUGAGAAGGUAUGGAAGAUCUGCAAUAAGAUAAGAACAAACACUAAUUCCCUGGGGUCAGCUCUGGAGACUGGUUACCAACUGGAUGUGUUCACCACCACUCUCUGGGCCUGACCACCCAACCAGUUCUUAACACAGCAAACCUAUGCAAGCUGUGGGCUGACAGCUUUUCCAGGAGUAUGCCAUGGGAGACAGUACCAAAGGCUUUGAUGAAGUCCAGGCAGGCAACAUUUACAGCGUGGCCCUCAUCCACCAGCUCGUUUCACAGUGUGACUGAGAAUUCAACUAUGCAAACAGCUGUACCAGCACAAUGGAGGGAUAACUUCUGCACAGGAAAGGAAGGCCAUGUAUUGGCCCCAAGAUUUACUGCUAUCCUGGAACAUUUCCUGGAACAUUUGUUCUCUCCAUGCUCCAAAUAUGCCUCCAGGAUUCAGAAUCCUGACACAGAAAGUCUGGGUACCAAGCACAUCCUGGAAAAGCUUGAAGAAGAUGAUCUAUUCAACAGCAAUUUUAAAAGAUCUUGUAAAAUCAGUGAUUUAAAU
Passer domesticus (house sparrow) is the source of this 558-nucleotide long non-coding RNA. RefSeq lists it as uncharacterized. Lineage: Eukaryota; Metazoa; Chordata; Aves; Passeriformes; Passeridae. The record is from RefSeq and is a predicted model, not a curated record. The transcript is spliced from 3 exons.